This 170-nucleotide ribosomal RNA is filed under the name Portunus pelagicus (sand crab). Its description in RNAcentral is "partial 16S ribosomal RNA". The record is from RNAcentral. Lineage: Eukaryota; Metazoa; Arthropoda; Malacostraca; Decapoda; Portunidae.
GCUUUAUAAAUUUAAAGAUUUUAUAUAUUUUUUAUUAUAAUGAUAAUUUCUCAAAAAUUUAUUGGGUUGGGGCAACAAAAGUAUAAUUAUCAAUAACUGCUAUAAAUUACUACAAUUAUUUUUGUUAUUAGAGAGUUGUUGAUCCUCGAAAGGGAUUAAAAGAUCAAGUU